GCCUCUGUUGCUCAGUUGGUUAGAGCGCUGCACCGGAAUCGCAGGGCCGUAGGUUCAAUUCCUACCAGAGGAC
RNAcentral lists this transfer RNA (73 nucleotides) under Paramuricea clavata. It matches the Rfam family "tRNA". Rfam says of the family: Transfer RNA (tRNA) molecules are approximately 80 nucleotides in length. Their secondary structure includes four short double-helical elements and three loops (D, anti-codon, and T loops). Further hydrogen bonds mediate the characteristic L-shaped molecular structure. tRNAs have two regions of fundamental functional importance: the anti-codon, which is responsible for specific mRNA codon recognition, and the 3' end, to which the tRNAs corresponding amino acid is attached (by aminoacyl-tRNA synthetases). tRNAs cope with the degeneracy of the genetic code in two manners: having more than one tRNA (with a specific anti-codon) for a particular amino acid; and 'wobble' base-pairing, i.e. permitting non-standard base-pairing at the 3rd anti-codon position. The record is from Rfam by way of RNAcentral. Lineage: Eukaryota; Metazoa; Cnidaria; Anthozoa; Malacalcyonacea; Plexauridae.